UGCGUAGGUGGUGGAGUAAGUUCGAUGUGAAAGCUCCGAGCUCAACUCGGAAAUGGCAUUGAAAACUACUCUGCUCGAGGAUUGGGAGGGGGGGACUGGAAUUCUCGGUGUAGCAGUGAAAUGCGUAGAUAUCGAGAGGAACACCAGUGGCGAAGGCGAGUCCCUGGACAAUUCCUGACACUGAGGCACGAAAGCUAGGGGAGCAAACA
This 209-nucleotide ribosomal RNA is filed under the name uncultured bacterium. Its description in RNAcentral is "partial 16S ribosomal RNA". It matches the Rfam family "Bacterial small subunit ribosomal RNA", at positions 568 to 774 of the family's 1533-position model. The record is from RNAcentral.